ACGCUCGACACCUACGAGGCAGCAGUGGGGAAUAUUGCACAAUGGGGGAAACCCUGAUGCAGCGACGCCGCAUGAGUGAAGAAGUAUUUCGGUAUGUAAAGCUCUAAUCAGCGAGGGAAAGAAAAUGACGGUACCUGAGUAAGAAGCCCCGGCUGACUACGUGUCAGCAGCCGCGGUAAUCUGAGGCGGGCUGGCAAGGC
RNAcentral lists this ribosomal RNA (200 nucleotides) under uncultured bacterium. RNAcentral describes it as "partial 16S ribosomal RNA". It matches the Rfam family "Bacterial small subunit ribosomal RNA", at positions 326 to 539 of the family's 1533-position model. The record is from RNAcentral.